Molecule: long non-coding RNA, 1377 nt
Organism: Zingiber officinale
Lineage: Eukaryota; Viridiplantae; Streptophyta; Magnoliopsida; Zingiberales; Zingiberaceae
Exons: 2
Source: RefSeq, a predicted model, not a curated record
UAGACGAAUUACCUUAACAGAAUUUUUAGAAAUUUUCAAGAAUUUUCUGGAAAUUUUUCGGAGCUCGUAUGACGAGUUUAAGAGGAUGCAUAUAUAAACUUGGGAAAAGCCUAUUUGUAAUACUAAAAAUUGGGAGUUGAUUGAGGAAUAAACUUAGGUUUUGAUUGCCUAAACCGAAGUUCAAUUUAUAAAAACCUAUUACUGUCGUGCCCUAGCCGAACUCCUUUUCUUCCCCUCUCUUCAUCUCGCAUCUCUCCGCCGAACCGAGCCCUUCGUCUCCCCCAACCUGGUGGCACCGCCACGCGACGCCUCCUCUCCCGCGCGUACAAAACCAUCGGCCAAGUUUCUUCUCCUCCUUUGCAUCGUCUCGCCACUCUCCCUUCUUCCCUCUGCAUCGCUGCCCGAUUCGCCGAACAACACCGAUACUGUGAGCCACCGAACCUCUCCCUCACGCUGCGCCACCCCUACUGGAUCGCUACCGCCCGAUCGCGCUGGUAGCCACCACCGAUCCGUGCCCUAAGCACCAUCUCAUCUCAUUAACACCGGCUGCCCAAGCCUUGAUCCGGUUGUCGUCCAUUCGUUCCUGGCCGCAAUCACUCACCGGAAGCCAAGCACACGAGCUUCCUUGUUCGGCUAUGCCUAUCUUUCAGCCUGAUUCCCCCUUCACCAGAGCAGGCCACGACCAAUGCCACGGCGACCGCGAUCUGCCACCAAUCUGAUUAGUCGGAUGCUACGAGAUGUUGUCGAUCCUCUUUCUUGACCACCAUGGUAAUCCAUAGGUCGAGGUGUGUGCUUUUGCUAUCAACAACCGCUUUCUAUAGGGUCUCCGGCACAGAGAAAGUUGUCAGCACAAGCUUAGGGUAAGAUAUGUUAGUUAUUUGAUGGUGGAGAUCUUGAUUCAAUUUUAGAUAGGAUUGUAUGUGCUAAUUGUUUCACGGGUCACAAUGGCUCCGUCCAUGGUUUUUCCGGCAACAACUUCUCCUAGGACGAACCACUUUGUUCUAGCAGCAAGUUGUCUCCGGAUGUGGAUCACCGGCUGAGGCUUCAGAAUUGGAUUGAAGCCGUCAGGAGGUUCCAGUCGCUAGUUCCCACACCGUGUUGUGACGAUUUUCUAUUUUCAAUCUUUAUUUUCUUGUUAUGUAUAUACAUACUGGUGAUGCGUGUGUCUUGCACUCGUGUAUUUCAUAUCAUGAUUCGAGUAUGAUGCCCAUGUUUUCCGUUGCGGUAGUUUUUACGUUGUGGGUUGUGUUUUCCUCGUUGUAGUGGAGUAGGUUUUUAUUAAACUACGCGGUUGUGAUUGUCAACCAGAGGUUGUACUAUAUAAACUGUGUGGAUUGUUUAUUUAAUUAUUGUAUAUGUUCUGAUCGUGUUGGCCGA